AUCGACGUUGCCGGAGAGGCCACCUCAUCACCGCCGGUGCACAUACACACACACACGCACACGCACCAGAGCGCGCGCACUGAGGCGUCUGCCUUUCCGUGUUCGGCCCUCCGUCGCCGCCCUACCACCACCCCUACACACAGUAGCACUAUCAUGCCGAACCCCAGCGCAGAUGCUGUGACUCUUGCAACUGCAGAGGAGGCAAAGGUGGCGGGGCAGCCGACACCGAAGGCGCCGCCACUCGAGCCGAUUAUUCCAGGCUGCACCCCGUACAAGUACUACCGCGUCCCUGACGGACUCAAGCGAGUGCGCAGGAAGCAGAAAGUCGGCAUCAUCUUCGGCUAUGUCGGUGAGUGCUACUGCGGGCUGCAGUGGAACCACCUUCCGGAGUAUCCGACAGUCGAGGAAGCGCUCAUGAAGGCGCUCUUCGAGACGGACAUGAUCAGCGAAGUGAAUUUUUCCAACGUAAAGGUGCAGCAGCUGCUCAACUUCGAGCGGGCCAGCCGCACCGACAAGGGUGUGCAUGCGCUUCGCAACGUCGUGUCCGUGGCUGUCAUGCUGCCCUACGACCCCUCGUAUACCAAGAAGCGUGUAGCAGCCCUGCAGGAGCACGCCGAAGGCGCGGCCGCUGGUGAGGUCUACAACGCAGACGGCGACGUCGAAGACGACGCAAACAGCGCGCAGGCCGCCGUCUUCAGCUGCGACGAGGCCAAGCGGCUGCUGAACGAGGCCCUUCCCCGCGAUAUCCACGUCUACGCCGUCGUGCCGGUGACUCGCAGCUUUAACGCCUACCUGAACUGUGGCGGGCGCCGCUACGAGUACUACCUGCCCACCUUCGCGCUUAUGACAGCGGCGGAAUACACCAAGACGUACUUUCCAGCCUUUCUGGCGCCCUCCAAGCCAACGUUAAAGGAGGUGGGUUUUGUGCCCGGCAAGCAUGGCAAGCGCGACCCCCCGCGCGCCGCCACGGUGACGGACGAGGAAGAAGAGGCGCGGCGUCGCAAGCACAAGAACAGCGCGCGCAAGAGCAAGGGACACUUCCCGAAGCGCAAGAAUGCCAAGGUGGCUGCACGUGCUGUGGCGGCGGCAACAACUGGGGCCGCGCCGCCAGACUCGACGUCACCGCUGGAAGGGAAGGGUGAUGUCUCCGCAGCUGAGGCCACGGCGCCACUGCACACCGAGCCCCUAGUCUUGUACUCUGAGACCCCUGCCAGGCCGACGAGCACAGUCGCGCUGAACGAUGGCGAGGAGGGGAAGGACGAGAGCGACGUGGAGAGUCAAGACAGCGACGCGGAGGUGCAGGCCGCGCUGGAGCGCGCCGCAGAGGCCCGCCCGUACGAGGACAACUACGCGACACACUUCCACGAUGGUCUCUUUGAGUCCAUGAUUCUCUUCCGCAGCAUACCGGCUGACGCGAUGCGCCACGUCGCCAACUACCGCCUCCCCGUGGAACAGCUGCAGCACGUUCGCCACCUCUUCCACGAGUACGAGGGGACGCACUGCUACCACAACUUCACCCCGGGCGGCCGCAGCUACGACGCUUCGUGUUACCGCUUCAUCCGCAGCGUCGUCGUGAGUGACCCUUUCGUUGUGUCGCCAGAGGAGGAACUGCUGCAGCACAGCAUUAAUAGCUGGUCUCUCAAUCACUUCUACUCCCCCGACGAGCGGGUGGCCGUGACGUAUGAAGAGUGGAUGACCGAAGGCGAGACGGCGGAGCUGCAGGGCGCCGCCGCGUCUGUCUCCGAGCAAGGAAAGCGGCAGAUCCCGAAGAGUGCGGACGCGGCGCUGCGGGAGCGCAUGCGUCAACACAUUCGCGACGUCUACGCCGGCGGCAUUGAAGUUGUGCGCAUCGAGCUGGAUGGACAGAGCUUCAUGCUGAACCAGAUUCGCAAGAUGAUUGGCGCGGUGGUCUGCAUUGCCGCCGGCGGCCUCCCUGACAGCUACAUCCGCGACGUCCUGCUGCGCAAGGGCGUGCGGCGAGGCAUCCCGAUGGCGCCAGCCAACGGUCUCUUCCUUUCGUACUUGGACUUCUCCGGCUACAAUCGGCGACUGGAGCGCAUUCAAAAUGAUGGCAACAACGGCGCCGGCAAAGGCACGCUCGACGUGGAGGCUGGCGUGGACGCCGACGAGGUCGAGGCGCAGCGUCGCCGCAUCAUCGCCGUGGUGUUGCGCAACGAGAUGGCGGAGGACAUCAUGGGGAAGUGGAUGCGCUCUCUCCGCCACGUGCUACGGCUGGCGUGGAAGCGCAGCCUCGAUUAAGCAGGAACGAUGGUGAAGGGGCUCCCUAUCACAGGGGGGGGGCUACAGAAAACAACAACCUGUGCUGUGGUGUGGAGGAGGAGGCGAAAGCCGUCCAUAUCUGCGAGGUGGAUGAGCCGGCAUCCUCUCAUUACCCUCCCCCCUGCUCGUGCGGUGUAAUGGCGCGCAGUGCCUCUUUAUACCGUCAGCGAGGAAGGCCUCGAACGGCUCACAGGAAAGUGCUUGACUGUUAAACGCGCUUGUGCUUGUCUGUAUGGGUGGUAUGAGGGACACGACGUUGGUGUGGCAAGAUCAAUUCGCAAGUGCAGCCCCCACGCAAGCACACAGCCACGCAUGUCUCACAUACGCCGUCCUCUCUUGUGCCCUCGCCAGCGCAGGCUGCACGCUCAUCAGCUGUGUGAUGGCGUGUCGUCUCGCGUGCGCUACGAAACGUUAUCAGGGUUGACGCCCCAAAAGAGAAC
This 2720-nucleotide unclassified non-coding RNA is filed under the name Leishmania donovani. Its description in RNAcentral is "gene:LdHU3.34.0480(CDS-product:tRNA_pseudouridine _synthase_putative)". Lineage: Eukaryota; Euglenozoa; Kinetoplastea; Trypanosomatida; Trypanosomatidae. The record is from RNAcentral.